Molecule: non-coding RNA, 296 nt
Organism: Xyrichtys novacula (pearly razorfish)
Lineage: Eukaryota; Metazoa; Chordata; Actinopteri; Labriformes; Labridae
Source: the annotation of a GenBank genome assembly
GUUAGGGUUAGGGUUGGAGCUAGGGUUAGGGUUAGGGUUAGGGUUGGAGUUAGGGUUAGUGUUGGAGCUAGGGUUAGGGUUGGUCCUGGAGCUAGGAUUUUUCUGAGUGCAAUGAACCAACUCCCGAGUCUCUAGGACGUUCCUAAAAAAAUUUGAUUUUUUCCCAUAGUAAUGCAUGGGUUAGGGUUAGGGUUAGGGUUGUAGCUAGGGUUAGGGUUAGGGUUAGGGUUGGAGUUAGGGUUAGUGUUGGAGCUAGGGUGAGGGUUGGGCUUGGAGCUAGGAUUUUUCUGAGUGCA